Molecule: RNA transcript, 575 nt
Organism: Vitis vinifera (wine grape)
Lineage: Eukaryota; Viridiplantae; Streptophyta; Magnoliopsida; Vitales; Vitaceae
Exons: 2
Source: RefSeq, a predicted model, not a curated record
UUUUUUUUUUUUUACCUCUACUAAAUCUAAAAAUUAAAAGGGCCACCCACUUCUCAAGUUGCCCUCCAGCCGAGAGAAUUCCCCUUUCCCCUUUUCUGAAGCUGCCCUCCAGCCGCUAAAGCUGCCCUCCAGCCAAGAGAGUUCCUCUUCCUAAAAAGACCUAUCUUCCUCUGCCACUCUCAAUCCUCGCAGAUUUUGUAUCCUGUGCGCGGGCUGGACUGGUAGGAAAAUAUCGGGAAAUUUUCCGAUAAAUCGGUAUUUCGCCGAUAUUUCGCCGAUAUAUCGGAGAUUUUGCCGAUUUUUUGUCGAUUUUUCCGUCGAUCGAUAAUCGGUGACGAUUAUCGUUUCGGCGCCGUCCGAUAUCCGAUAUUUCUUCGAAAUAUAGGCGACAUUUUCCGAUUUUUCAAUCCCUGCUCCGGUCCAGCCGGGAACAGAAUACAUAUCUUCAGAAAGAUCUGCGCCUCUCAUUUCAAUGUUGACCGCUUUUACUGAAGGAGAACCCUAACGCCGCCUUGCAUAGCAGCAGCUCCAGAACCCUAACGCCGCCUUGCAUAGCAGCAGCUCUGCUUCCAAAA